Molecule: long non-coding RNA, 612 nt
Organism: Mastomys coucha (southern multimammate mouse)
Lineage: Eukaryota; Metazoa; Chordata; Mammalia; Rodentia; Muridae
Exons: 3
Source: RefSeq, a predicted model, not a curated record
GAGUCAUCCAGGCAGGAGCAGUUCUAGGAAGCUGGGUCUGGAGACACUGGAGAGUUCUGGAGGCUCACAUAGGUCUUGGGAGAAAUGUGCGCAAGCAGAAGUCUGUGUCGUGAUGCUACAUGGGGCUCUUGCAAUGAAGAUCCUCAGGAUCUGUGGAGGACACUUUGGCCCAUAGUGGACCAUGAAUAUGAUGAUGUCAGGGCAUAACUGCCUUUGUUUGAGAAGUCAACUCUUGGACUUAUGGACUGGGAUGAGUUCACCUAACGCUCCAGUUCUCAGAAUCUCUUCCGCUCAGUCCUUGUACAGAUAAGGAUGCCAUCUUGACCAGCCAUAUACCACAGAGGGGCUCCGAAACACAGAGGUCCUUGUGUUUCCUUGGGCUCCAGGGUGUAGACCUGGGGCUGAUGUAGAGCCUGAACCAAGACCUGACCUUGCUCACAGGACUGCCUUACCCUGUCUAGGAGCAGGUCAGAAGCCUUGGCUCUGUACAGGAUGAGAAGUUUCUCCUUCACGUUUCAUUUCAUCCUCCCUCCUUCCAGGAAGUCCUGACCUCCCUUCCCCUCCCCCUUCCUCUUCCCCUUCCUCCCCUUCUCUCUCCUCCUUUCCUUUCCU